GGAGGAAUGGCAGAGUGGUCGAAUGCGGCGGUCUUGAAAACCGUUGUCCGCUUACGCGGACCGGGGGUUCGAAUCCCUCUUCCUCCGCCA
This 90-nucleotide transfer RNA is filed under the name Bacteroides sp. RNAcentral's name for it is "tRNA-Ser". It matches the Rfam family "tRNA". From Rfam's summary of the family: Transfer RNA (tRNA) molecules are approximately 80 nucleotides in length. Their secondary structure includes four short double-helical elements and three loops (D, anti-codon, and T loops). Further hydrogen bonds mediate the characteristic L-shaped molecular structure. tRNAs have two regions of fundamental functional importance: the anti-codon, which is responsible for specific mRNA codon recognition, and the 3' end, to which the tRNAs corresponding amino acid is attached (by aminoacyl-tRNA synthetases). tRNAs cope with the degeneracy of the genetic code in two manners: having more than one tRNA (with a specific anti-codon) for a particular amino acid; and 'wobble' base-pairing, i.e. permitting non-standard base-pairing at the 3rd anti-codon position. The record is from RNAcentral. Lineage: Bacteria; Pseudomonadati; Bacteroidota; Bacteroidia; Bacteroidales; Bacteroidaceae.